Molecule: unclassified non-coding RNA, 434 nt
Filed under: Hevea brasiliensis (rubber tree)
Lineage: Eukaryota; Viridiplantae; Streptophyta; Magnoliopsida; Malpighiales; Euphorbiaceae
Source: RNAcentral
AAAAAAAAAAAAAUUCCACGAAAUUUCUAGGAACUAGUGUGUACAAAUAAAAAGAAAAGUAUUUCUACUACUCGGUCGUUGAGGGGUUCGUUGACCCGAUUGCAGUUCCAAGUAAACAAAUCAAUUAUCUUCACACUGGAAGAAAACAAACAUCUUUAUCAUCUCUUUUGUUGGGUAAGUCCCGUAGCCCAUAGGCUGUUGCCUGAGAGUUUGAAGUUUCAACAAUACACACUAUAAUGAAACCAGAAAUAUUCAGGCACGUUGGUAGUUGUAUUCGCUAUAUUUGAAUUAUGGACAUUGAAAAUGACACCCACUCGAAAAAAAAUCCUCAUCUCUGAUAAUAUGUGUUCCACACUCUGGAGCUGAUGAGAAACAAUCAAUGGCAGGGAAAAUUUGGAGCUUGCUGGAAAACUAACAAGCUUUCAAAACCUAAU